Molecule: ribosomal RNA, 597 nt
Filed under: Serratia sp. (in: enterobacteria)
Lineage: Bacteria; Pseudomonadati; Pseudomonadota; Gammaproteobacteria; Enterobacterales; Yersiniaceae
Description: bacterial SSU rRNA
Rfam family: Bacterial small subunit ribosomal RNA
Source: RNAcentral
CGCNGNCCNUCACACCAUCGGNAUGCUGCCCAGAUGGGAUUAGCCUAGAUAGGUGAGGUANUGGCUCACCUAGGCGACGAUCCCUAGNUGGUCUGAGAGGAUGACCAGCCACACUGGAACUGANACACGGUCCAGACUCCUACGGGAGGCAGCAGUGGGGAAUAUUGCACAAUGGGCGCAAGCCUGAUGCAGCCAUGCCGCGUGUGUGAAGAAGGCCUUCGGGUUGUAAAGCACUUUCAGCGAGGAGGAAGGGUUCGGUGUUAAUAGCACCGUUCAUUGACGUUACUCGCANAAGAAGCACCGGCUAACUCCGUGCCAGCAGCCGCGGUAAUACGGAGGGUGCAAGCGUUAAUCGGAAUUACUGGGCGUAAAGCGCACGCAGGCGGUUUGUUAAGUCAGAUGUGAAAUCCCCGAGCUUAACUUGGGAACUGCAUUUGAAACUGGCAAGCUAGAGUCUUGUAGAGGGGGGUAGAAUUCCAGGUGUAGCGGUGAAAUGCGUAAAGAUCUGGAGGAAUACCGGUGGCGAAGGCNGCCCCCUGGACAAAGACUGACGCUCANGUGCGAAAAGCGUGGGUAAGCAAACAGGAUUANAUACCC